UGAAAUUAGUCUGUAAAGGCUACGCAACAUCACCCCGUAAUAACAGCUUUGUAUCUAGAAAUGAUACAUAUCUUCAUUUUCCCACAGGACCGGUAAGGACUAUUGCUGAUAUUACGCCUGUGUAAUUCCUAAUUAAGUAAACAGUCAUAUCGCAGCUUUAAAGUGCGAAUAUUGGAAAAGCAUUUACCGGAUGAAAGCAUCUGGCACAGAAUGUGAUAAGAUUGAUUGAUUGUAUAGCGUCCCUGUUGAGAACUAUUCACUCCUAUGGAGACGUCACCAAGACCAGUGAAGGGCUUCAAAUUUAGGCCUAUGUUCGGCGCUUACGACCAUUGAGCAGUGAGGGUUCGUUAGCGUGCCACACCUACUGUGACACGGGACAUCCGUUUUUAAGGUCAUCCCCAAGGACCCGUGACAUUCACACCCGAUGCCGAUGGAAUUGUCACUUCCAGUUCUGUCAUGGCCGGGAUUCGAAAGCCGACCUUCCGCAUGCGGGCGAACGCUCACCUUUAUCUAGACCACCGCGGCGGUACAAAAGAUGUUUUGAAUAAGUUUUGUUUACAUCUUGAAACGAUAAACUUAUCUUAGUUUCGGGUAUGGUACUUAAGGAGGUAUGCUACACAUUCCCUGUGAUCAUUCUUAACAUUGCAGUCAAUUUUGACAUUUUGCAACGUGACGGCUAGUUUUUAAACUUUCCCAAUCAGUUUCGAAAUACAGUGAUUCUUUGGAUACAAAAAUACGUAGACCAGUUGCAGCUAUUUGUACUUUUACAACAUCAUUUACAGAGCAACCAUCCCAAACAAGGGAAGUGUAUGACUUUGUUGAAGUAUUUUGUAAAUCGUCAUCGGCAAAUAUAAUUUCAGUGUCAAGCAAUAAAGAAUUUUGUUUGGGAAGGUGUGAUAUAUAUCUAUAGAUACCAGUUUUUUUGGAUAUCAAUUAGAUGAUUAGCCAUUUUGUAGUGAGGCAGAUAGGUGCGACAAGAAAUUUGAGACCUUUGGCAAUGAAGUAGUUAUGCUAUAACAUAUCGAUUAAACAGAGGCUGACAUGAUGGUUACGUUCAGUGGGAUCUGGAAAAGUACCGAUUUUGAAGUUUGCUUACGUCUAGUUUAAUACAUAAACAAAGAAACGCUCGGAUAACACAAACACCCAUACCCAAGCCUGACAUGAAGCGCACGUUUGAUUGGGAAGACUCGGGUAAUUCUACAGUGAUGGCUGUGCAUGUGCAGAGGCUAUACUCCUUAAAUGUGAAUAAAACAACAACUGUUGCUCUAGUGUUGUUUUGAAAAAUGGCGUUUGAUUUGAAAAUCGUAUCAAUGACAAUUUAUCU
Long non-coding RNA from Ostrea edulis (European flat oyster), 1324 nucleotides. RefSeq lists it as uncharacterized. Lineage: Eukaryota; Metazoa; Mollusca; Bivalvia; Ostreida; Ostreidae. The transcript has 3 exons. The record is from RefSeq and is a predicted model, not a curated record.